GCCAACGUCCAUACCACGUUGAAUACACCGGUUCUCGUCCGAUCACCGAAGUUAAGCAACAUCGGGCGCGGUCAGUACUUGGAUGGGUGACCGCCUGGGAACACCGCGUGACGUUGGCU
This 119-nucleotide ribosomal RNA is filed under the name Heliothis virescens (tobacco budworm). The record is from RNAcentral. RNAcentral also lists the same sequence under 3 other names. Lineage: Eukaryota; Metazoa; Arthropoda; Insecta; Lepidoptera; Noctuidae.